AUUCAUUUCCUACAUUUACAGCUGGUUGUCGAGAUCGGCCCUGGGAGGGAAUGAUCCGGGCUCAAGUCUGUUUCCCAUUUACCGGCUACAUGCCUUAGACCAAACUUCCUAACCUAGCGGGUUCCUUUGGCUGCACAAAAAUCUGCGUCGUCAAACUUAGGAGCUACGUGGAGGCCACCGUUAGGAGCCCACGGCGGCGAUCGUUACGGCCUCGGAGGGCCAGGCCCGGCUUUCUCCGGAUGGCUGCCCUCAGUCUCCCACACAGCUGAAGCUGAAUGCAAAACGCGACCGCAAACAAGGAGAAAGCAAAGCAUUUCAAAGAGACUGAAACCGCUAAGCUAGAGAGACGAGGGAAUUAAACCGGCUCCGGUCAGUUCCCACCAAGGGGUGGCAGUUUCCGCGAGGGCAAGCCAAUCCAACCAGCCAAGGGACUGCCCAGCGGCGCAGGAACAAAACCCAGGCUCAGACCCUCCCCCUAACGGUCCCCGCCUCGCUGGCCUCCAGCGGCCACGGGCGUCUCGUUUCCGGCCCUCGCAGGACCACAGUUCCCAGCAUGCCGCUGGCGGGAAGUCUUUGCCGCUGGAUGACUACGAAUCCCAGCAUGCCACUCAGCACGCCAGUAAGCCAGAUGGAAGAGUGGGAUGACCCCGAUGCAUGCAGGGAGUUGUAGUCCACUUAGCUGCAGGCUUUUGGAGGGGCGGGGAAGAGCCGGAUCGCUCUCAUCCGCUGAGGAGAAUGAUUCAUAGACGAGGGUCAGGAGAGAAAAACAGUUCUCUCUGUAAAAAUCCACUGGAAAGACUGGACUCUUCUCCGAGGGAGAGAGAGGCAGGCGAGUUAGCGAGACCCCGAGCCUGACCCCGCCUCAGGCCGCUCUCCAGGCCGCCACCGAGCUCAGGGCCUGGUGGGGGGCGGCCGCGAGGCGCCGUUUGCUGGGGGAGCGGUGACGUCGCGGGGUGAAAGUUGAGGGGCGGUGACGUCGGGCCUGCCCGGGCGGAGGCUGGCGGAUUGGAGGCAGGAGGGAGGGAGGGAAAGAGGGAAGGAAGGAAGCUGGGAAGGAGCGAGCGAGCGAGCGGGGGCGCGAGGCGUUUACCUGGAGGCAGCGGCUUGGGCGCGCAGAGCGGCCGCGGCUCCCCCGCACCUGCGGCCAUGGAUGAGGAGCGCGCCCUCUACAUCGUCCGGGCCGGUGAAGCGGGGGCUAUCGAGCGGGUCCUGAGGGAUUACAGCGACAAGCAUAGGGCUACUUUCAAAUUUGAAUCAACAGAUGAAGAUAAAAGAAAGAAACUCUGUGAAGGCAUAUUUAAGGUCCUUGUGAAAGAUGUCCCAACAACAUGUCAAGUGUCUUGCCUGGAAGUACUUCGCAUUCUCUCCAGAGACAAAAAGAUUUUAGUUCCUGUAACAACUAAGGAAAAUAUGCAGAUACUGCUGCGACUAGCCAAGCUAACCGAAUCGGAUGAUUCUUUGGAGAAGGUGUCAGAGUUCCCCGUUAUUGUGGAGUCGUUAAAAUGUCUGUGUAACAUAGUGUUCAACAGUCAGAUGGCACAGCAGCUCAGCCUGGAACUUAAUCUUGCUGCAAAGCUCUGUAACCUUUUGAGAAAGUGCAAGGACCGAAAAUUUAUCAAUGACAUUAAGUGCUUUGACCUGCGCCUGCUCUUCCUCCUGUCACUUCUGCACACUGACAUCAGGUCACAGUUGCGUUACGAGCUCCAGGGACUACCGCUGCUAACCCAGAUCUUGGAAAGUGCCUUUAGCAUCAAGUGGACCGAUGAGUAUGAAUCGGCCAUAGACCAUAAUGGACCUCCUCUCUCACCUCAGGAGACAGACUGUGCCAUUGAGGCCCUCAAAGCUCUCUUCAAUGUGACAGUAGACAGUUGGAAGGUGCAUAAAGAGAGUGAUUCUCAUCAGUUCCGUGUCAUGGCAGCUGUCCUUCGCCAUUGUUUACUAAUUGUAGGUCCAACCGAAGACAAAACAGAAGAGCUGCACAGCAAUGCAGUCAACCUUUUAAGCAAUGUUCCGGUCUCUUGUUUGGAUGUCCUCAUUUGUCCAUUAACCCAAGAGGAAACAGCACAAGAGGCACCGACUCUAGAUGAACUGCCCAGUGAAAAAACAGCUGAAAAAGAAGCAGUUUUGAAAAACAAUACCAUGGUUUACAAUGGUAUGAAUAUGGAGGCCAUUCAUGUUUUACUCAAUUUUAUGGAGAAGAGAAUAGACAAGGGCAGCAGCUAUAGAGAGGGUCUAACUCCAGUUCUCAGCUUACUGACAGAGUGUUCCCGAGCCCAUCGACACAUCCGAAAAUUUCUCAAAGAUCAGGUUUUACCACCACUGAGGGAUGUGACAAAUCGACCUGAAGUUGGCUCAACUGUGAGAAAUAAGCUGGUGCGCCUCAUGACACAUGUUGACCUUGGAGUCAAGCAAAUUGCUGCUGAAUUUCUUUUUGUCCUUUGCAAAGAGAGAGUGGACAGUCUGCUGAAAUACACUGGCUAUGGGAAUGCUGCAGGACUGUUGGCUGCCAGGGGCCUCUUGGCUGGAGGAAGAGGUGAUAAUUGGUACUCAGAGGAUGAGGACACAGACACUGAAGAAUACAAAAAUGCAAAACCAAACAUUAAUCUUAUCACUGGUCAUUUAGAGGAACCAAUGCCAAACCCCAUAGAUGAAAUGACAGAAGAACAAAAAGAAUAUGAAGCCAUGAAACUUGUCAACAUGCUUGAUAAACUUUCCAGGGGAAUCCACAUAUCCUAGAAGCUGCCAACAAAUCAGUACACAAACGUCAAGUGUGAGACGCCCAAGCUUCCACCUGACUUAGACUGUGCUUCCACGGAGAUGCACACUCACCCGGAAACACCCAGCAGAUGUCCAACUCAAUCUGAAGGAGAGCAGAUGUGAAGGACCUGCACCAGGAUGGUGGUUAGCAACAGUGGCCCGUGCCAAAGCACUUACCAAAGUGAUGACUAAGACCCUGUCAUUAAUUCCAUGUGUCAAUACUGCCCUGUAGUACACAGAGCAGACAAGAAAGAAGAGCCCUUGAAAACAAGGGAAUGAUUUUUGAGUCGUUAUCAAGCUAAGUGGCAAGCGGGAAGCUGAAUCUCGUAUAGUUGAACAUUCUUGGAGGCUUAUCUCUUCCCUGGCCAGAUGCCUGAUCAGAUGAGAAGCCCGCCAUGAUACUGUCACAGUGCCUAGAAUGGGCUCUUUAUCCAGUAGACAUCACUGUACUUUUUGAUGAUAACAAGGGCAGUCUUAACUUGUGUUAAGGCCCGUAUAUAGCAUUGAAGAGAGGAGUUGCUUAAACCAAUGGGACUAAAGCCUGAUGGGACGAUAACGCCUCUGGAGGAAGCACUCAGCCAGUACUCCGUCAUCGAAGAGACCAGCUCGGACACGGACUGAAAGCGUCACCUGCUCAACUCUCAAUAUUGCUUUUAUCAGCAUCUUUUCUCUGUAGCUCCAGGGGAAUCUUUUCUCUAAAACAUGUAUGCCCUUGCUUUGGCUAGAAACACAUUACCUGGUUACUCAUUGAGAAUCAGCAUAUUUAAGAGGUGAUCCUGUGUUUUUUGCGAUAUCGAGGCAUUUGUACAGAGCUGCAGUUAGAGUUCCAGGGGCUAGAAAUAAACAAAGAUGUAAUCCCAUUUCAUCAGGAUGGGACCGAAGGACUUUAUUUUGCCAAGCAUUCCUGGGUGAGACUUGGCCAUUCUCUUUGCCAAGAAUCUUAGCAGAAGAUUAGCGGUGUCCACUUCUCCCUUGGGUGAGCCGCCCCCUCUCGAUCCCUCCAGCAGCUGAGCGCGAGAAGCAGGAGUGGGAAACCAGGGCCAAAGGACUCCUUAGGUCAGGACCGGUGAGGUGGAAGCCAAGCUGCUCUGUAAACUUAGCCCCGCUCUUCAUUUCGAUUUUGUAUAAAUAUGUAGAAGUAUACACACAGACACACAGACACAGAACCCCAGACCUGCAAACUGUCACUGAGCUAAGACUUCAGAAUACAUUCUCCUAAGAGUUAUAAAUGGUGGCUUAGUUCUCAGGCAGCUACAAAUGCCUAUUUAUUCCCUAACGUACCUGAACACUAGUACCAUGGAACUGAACCACCAUUGGUAGCACUGCCCAGGGAGCAAGCGUUCUGGGGUCCAGGGCAGCACACCAGAGACACAUCCUCCACUCCUGGAGUGGAGGGAGCUCUGGCGUGGCCUCUGCUCCAGGUGGGAGGCGGUGGCACCCAUUUGUACAUAUAGGUCAUUCAUGGGUCAUAUGUUUUAUACGGGGGACUGUGUGCGCACGAGUGUGUAUACAUUCUACCUUUUUACCAUAUGAUCAGUUUAAUGGUAACUUUAUUUAUUUAAAAAGAGAAACAAAUAGUUACAGUUAAACUGAUCGACUCUUUAUUUUUACUUUUAGAAUUGGUCCUAUGAAGAAGUAGAAACUGCAUCAUGCAACAGUGGGCCUAGUUGAUCAGUGGCUAAAGUUGAAAAGGGGUUGGUUUCCUUUAAAUGUAUAUAUGUGUGUGUAUGUGUGUGUGAGCACACACAUAUGUACAUACACACACAUAAUGUGCUUAACCACUGCCUUUUACAACUUUAAAUAAAACAUUGGGGUUGAUUCAAUGUA
RNA transcript from Ochotona princeps (American pika), 4584 nucleotides. It is a transcript of the gene named RIC8 guanine nucleotide exchange factor B, with no coding region annotated. The transcript has 14 exons. NCBI's taxonomy places the organism in Eukaryota, Metazoa, Chordata, Mammalia, Lagomorpha, Ochotonidae. The record is from RefSeq and is a predicted model, not a curated record.